Molecule: ribosomal RNA, 465 nt
Filed under: Vreelandella stevensii
Lineage: Bacteria; Pseudomonadati; Pseudomonadota; Gammaproteobacteria; Oceanospirillales; Halomonadaceae
Description: partial 16S ribosomal RNA
Rfam family: Bacterial small subunit ribosomal RNA
Source: RNAcentral
CCUACGGGUGGCUGCAGUGGGGAAUAUUGUACAAUGGGCGAAAGCCUGAUCCAGCCAUGCCGCGUGUGGGAAGAAGGCCUUCGGGGUGUAAAGCACUUUCAGUGGGGAAGAAAGCCUUGGGGCUAAUACCCUCGAGGAAGGACAUCACCCACAGAAGAAGCACCGGCUAACUCCGUGCCAGCAGCCGCGGUAAUACGGAGGGUGCGAGCGUUAAUCGGAAUUACUGGGCGUAAAGCGCGCGUAGGCGGUCUGAUAAGCCGGUUGUGAAAGCCCCGGGCUCAACCUGGGAACGGCAUCCGGAACUGUCAGGCUAGAGUGCAGGAGAGGAAGGUAGAAUUCCCGGUGUAGCGGUGAAAUGCGUAGAGAUCGGGAGGAAUACCAGUGGCGAAGGCGGCCUUCUGGACUGACACUGACGCUGAGGUGCGAAAGCGUGGGUAGCAAACAGGAUUAGAUACCCGAGUAGUC